This 301-nucleotide ribosomal RNA is filed under the name uncultured bacterium. Its description in RNAcentral is "partial 16S ribosomal RNA". It matches the Rfam family "Bacterial small subunit ribosomal RNA", at positions 509 to 809 of the family's 1533-position model. The record is from RNAcentral.
CAGUAGCCGCGGUAAUACGUAGGUGGCAAGCGUUGUCCGGAAUUAUUAGGCGUAAAGGGCUCGCAGGCGGUUUCUUAAGUCUGACGUGAAAGCCCCCGGCUCAACCGGGGAGGGUCAUUGGAAACUGGGAAACUUGAGUGCAGAAGAGGAGAGUGGAAUUCCACGUGUAGCGGUGAAAUGCGUAGAGAUGUGGAGGAACACCAGUGGCGAAGGCGACUCUCUGGUCUGUAACUGACGCUGAGGAGCGAAAGCGUGGGGAGCGAACAGGAUUAGAUACCCCUGUAGUCCCUGUCUCUUAUAA